GCUAAAAACUCAGCUCUUCUAUAUCGAAUGCCCAUACCUCUUAACUAUUACUAAAUAAAACAUUUUAUCCAUUUAGUAACGGCGAUUAAAAAAUGUCUAGAAGCUAUAGAAACCAGUACCGCAAGGGAAAAGUGAAAUAAAAAUGAAAUAUUGUAAAGCAUAACAUAGCAGAGAUUAUCCCUCGUACCUUUUGCAUCAUGGUCUAACUAGUCUGACCAAGCACAAUGCAUUUUUAGUUUGACACCCCGAAACUAGGUGAGCUACUUAAGAACAGCCUUCAGGGCCAACCCGUCUCUGUUGCAAAAGAGUGGGAAGAUUCUUUAGUAGAGGUGACAGACCUAUCGAACCUAGAGAUAGCUGGUUAUUCAAGAAAAGGAUUUUAGUCCUACCUAAGGUUCCACGUAUACUGUAAUACACAACAAACCUUUAGAGCUAUUCAAAUAAGGUACAGCCUAUUUGAUACAGGAUACAACCUCAUUUAAUGGGUAAUUAACCUAAUAAUCAACCAAGUGGGCCUAAAAGCAGCCACCUUAAAAAAGCGUUAAAGCUUCAUUGUAAAAACCAAAAAUUCCACCAAUAAAUUACAACCCUUUAUGUCGUAUUGAAUGACUUCAUACCCCUAUGAAGAACUAUAUGUUAGAACUAGUAACAAGAAGACAGCCCUUCUCCAAAAUGUAAGCUUGCGCCAUAAUGAACUAAUCACUGGCACUUAAAGUCUUUACCAAUAGCAACUCUUUUCUAGAAAACCCUAUUAAUUAAUACGUCAACCUUACACAAGCACAUCUCUGGAAAGAUUAAAAGAAUAGGAAGGAACUCGGCAAACUCUAACCCCGCCUGUUUACCAAAAACAUCGCCUUCUGGUACACAUAGAAGGUCCAGCCUGCCCAGUGACUAAGUUAAACGGCCGCGGUACCCUAACCGUGCAAAGGUAGCGCAAUCACUUGUUCUUUAAAUGAGGACUAGUAUGAACGGCAUCACGAGGGUUAUACUGUCUCCCUAUUCCAAUCAGUGAAACUGAUCUUCCCGUGAAGAAGCGGGAAUAAAUAUAUAAGACGAGAAGACCCCAUGGAGCUUUAAACUCAGUACCACCUGCUAUUUUCAAAUCCUAUUAAUCACGCAGACAUGGUAACUAGUUUUCGGUUGGGGUGACCGCGGAGCAAAACAAAACCUCCACAACGAAAGGAACUAACAUCCUAAUCCAAGAGCAACAUCUCUAAGAAUUAAAAAAUUAACUUAAUUGAUCCAAUUACUUGAUCAACGAACCAAGUUACCCUGGGGAUAACAGCGCAAUCCAUUUAAAGAGCUCUUAUCGACAAAUGGGUUUACGACCUCGAUGUUGGAUCAGGGUAUCCCAGUGGCGCA
This 1362-nucleotide ribosomal RNA is filed under the name Microhyla ornata (ornate rice frog). RNAcentral's name for it is "partial 16S rRNA". It matches the Rfam family "Bacterial large subunit ribosomal RNA", at positions 23 to 2557 of the family's 2925-position model. Lineage: Eukaryota; Metazoa; Chordata; Amphibia; Anura; Microhylidae. The record is from RNAcentral.